Molecule: ribosomal RNA, 452 nt
Filed under: uncultured organism
Description: partial 16S ribosomal RNA
Rfam family: Bacterial small subunit ribosomal RNA
Source: RNAcentral
ACGUACACUCCUACGGGAGGCAGCAGUGGGGAAUAUUGGACAAUGGGCGCAAGCCUGAUCCAGCCAUGCCGCGUGAGUGAUGAAGGCCCUAGGGUUGUAAAGCUCUUUCACCGGUGAAGAUAAUGACGGUAACCGGAGAAGAAGCCCCGGCUAACUUCGUGCCAGCAGCCGCGGUAAUACGAAGGGGGCUAGCGUUGUUCGGAUUUACUGGGCGUAAAGCGCACGUAGGCGGACUAUCAAGUCAGGGGUGAAAUCCCGGGGCUCAACCCCGGAACUGCCUUUGAUACUGGUAGUCUUGAGUUCGAGAGAGGUGAGUGGAAUUCCGAGUGUAGAGGUGAAAUUCGUAGAUAUUCGGAGGAACACCAGUGGCGAAGGCGGCUCACUGGCUCGAUACUGACGCUGAGGUGCGAAAGCGUGGGGAGCAAACAGGAUUAGAAACCCGGGUAGUCCCA